ACACGAAACCCACGUUUCAAACCAAUCUGUGCUCUGUAACCUUCUAGUGAUAGAGGACCUCAUUCUUCGGAGUGAACCUCUAUUGCUUUUUUAAACUUUUUAACCCCUUGUAUCAUUUAUUGACUGAACCUUCAAAGCUUGAGUGACGUCUUCGGACUGAACUCGCUUUCGAUAUUACGAAACUCAGAA
This 189-nucleotide unclassified non-coding RNA is filed under the name uncultured fungus. RNAcentral's name for it is "sequence contains ITS1, 5.8S rRNA gene". Lineage: Eukaryota; Fungi. The record is from RNAcentral.